RNAcentral lists this ribosomal RNA (484 nucleotides) under uncultured bacterium. Its description in RNAcentral is "partial 16S ribosomal RNA". It matches the Rfam family "Bacterial small subunit ribosomal RNA", at positions 30 to 507 of the family's 1533-position model. The record is from RNAcentral.
AUCGAACGCUGGCGGCAGGCUUAACACAUGCAAGUCGAGCGGAUGAAGGGAGCUUGCUCCUGGUUUCAGCGGCGGACGGGGGUGUAAUGCCUAGGAAUCAGCUUGGUAGUGGGGGAGAACGUCCGGAGACGGGCGCUAAUACUGCAUACGUCGUGAGGCAGAAAGAGGGGGAGGGUCGGACAUCACGCUAUCAGAGGAGUGUAGGUCGGAUUGGCUAGUUGGUGGGGUGAUGGCCUACUAAGUCGGCGAUCGGCAACUGGUCUGAGAGGAUGAUCAGUCGCACUGGAGCUGAGACACGGUCCAGGCUCCUGCGGGAGGCAGCAGUGGGGAAUAUUGGGCAGUGGGCGAAAGCCUGGUCCAGCCAUGCCGCGUGUGUGAAGAAGGUCUUCGGAUUGUAAAGCACGUUAAGUUGGGAGGAAGGGCAGUAAGUUAAUACCUUGCUGUUUUGACGUUACCAGCAGAAGAAGCACCGGCUAACUUCGUG